GACGAACGCUGGCGGCGUGCUUAACACAUGCAAGUCGAACGGAAAGGCCCUGCUUGUAGGGUACUCGAGUGGCGAACGGGUGAGUAACACGUGUGUGUUCUGCUCUGCACUUAGGGAUAAGCUUGGGAAACUGGGUCUAAUACCGGAUAGGUGCCCUCCUUAGUGUGGUGGUUGGAUAGUUUUUUCGGUGUGGGAUGAGCUCGCGGCCUAUCUGCUUGCUGGUGGGGUAAUGGCCUACCAAGGCGGCGACGGGUAGCCGGCCUGAGCUGGUGUCCGGCCACACUGGGACUGAGAUACGGCCCAGGCUCCUACGGGUAGCAGCAGGGGGGAAUAUUGCACAACGGGCGCAAGCCUGAUGCAGCGACGCCGCGUGGGGGAUGAAGGCCUUCGGGUUGUAAACUCCUUUCCCUAGGGGCGAAGCUUUUUGUGACGGUACCUAGGUAAGAAGCACCGGCUAACUACGUG
RNAcentral lists this ribosomal RNA (465 nucleotides) under uncultured bacterium. RNAcentral's name for it is "partial 16S ribosomal RNA". It matches the Rfam family "Bacterial small subunit ribosomal RNA", at positions 28 to 507 of the family's 1533-position model. The record is from RNAcentral.